AGAGUUUGAUCCUGGCUCAGAAACGAACGCUGGCGGCAUGCCUAACACAUGCAAGUCGAACGCUCCUUGGGCUUCGGUCCGGGGGGAGUGGCGCACGGGUGAGUAGCGCGUGGGAACCUGCCCUGUUGUGGGGGAUAACCGAGGGAAACUUCGGCUAAUACCGCAUAAGCCGGUUGUCUUGAGAGAGAUGGCCGGGAAAGAUUUAUCGCGACAGGAAGGGCCCGCGUCGGAUUAGGUAGUUGGCGGGGUAACGGCCCACCAAGCCGGUGAUCCGUAGCUGGUCUGAGAGGAUGAUCAGCCACACUGGGACUGAGACACGGCCCAGACUCCUACGGGAGGCAGCAGUGGGGAAUAUUGGACAAUGGGCGCAAGCCUGAUCCAGCAAUGCCGCGUGAGUGAUGAAGGCCUUAGGGUUGUAAAGCUCUUUCGCCCGCGACGAUGAUGACGGUAGCGGGAGAAGAAGCCCCGGCUAACUUCGUGCCAGCAGCCGCGGUAAUACGAAGGGGGCGAGCGUUGUUCGGAAUCACUGGGCGUAAAGGGCGCGUAGGCGGCCCUCCUUGUCGCGUGUGAAAGCCCCGGGCUCAACCUGGGAACGGCGCGCGAGACGGGGGGGCUGGAGUUCGGGAGAGGAGCGUGGAAUUCCCAGUGUAGAGGUGAAAUUCGUAGAUAUUGGGAAGAACACCGGUGGCGAAGGCGGCGCUCUGGACCGAGACUGACGCUGAGGCGCGAAAAGCGUGGGGAGCAAACAGGAUUAGAUACCCCCGUAGUCC
Molecule: ribosomal RNA, 770 nt
Filed under: uncultured bacterium
Lineage: Bacteria
Description: bacterial SSU rRNA
Rfam family: Bacterial small subunit ribosomal RNA
Source: RNAcentral